Non-coding RNA from Fukomys damarensis (Damara mole-rat), 73 nucleotides. Lineage: Eukaryota; Metazoa; Chordata; Mammalia; Rodentia; Bathyergidae. The record is from the annotation of a RefSeq genome assembly.
GUUUCCAUAGUGUAGUGGUUAUAAUGUUCACCUAACACGCAAAAGGUCCCUGGUUCGAAACUGGGUGGAAACA